CGGUAGCUGCUGCGUUGCCUA
Molecule: non-coding RNA, 21 nt
Filed under: Arabidopsis thaliana (thale cress)
Lineage: Eukaryota; Viridiplantae; Streptophyta; Magnoliopsida; Brassicales; Brassicaceae
Source: RNAcentral